Molecule: long non-coding RNA, 1799 nt
Organism: Myotis davidii
Lineage: Eukaryota; Metazoa; Chordata; Mammalia; Chiroptera; Vespertilionidae
Exons: 6
Source: RefSeq, a predicted model, not a curated record
UACUGCACAUGUGCAUAAGGGCAAGAGUAACAAAUAUGACAGUUCUUUGUAGAUUCAAGGGUAAAAGAAUGCACGAAAGUGGUAAACAGCCUGAUGAAAUCCUAACUCGGUAGUGGCACAGUUACUUAACAGAUUGGAUUAUUCUGCGGAGAAUUAGUGACCCCCUUCAGUCAAUGUAUUUGGAGUCCUAGGUGUGCCUGGUUCUCUGCUGGGUGCUAAGGACGCAGAAAUGAAUCCAGCGCCUUCCUUUGGCUCAGAGGGCAUCUGGUCUACUUCUCCCUUCUCUGUUAAAUCAUUUUGUCUCCAAGCCUUACAUAAUCUUUCUACCGCAGGGAGACCUAGUGUGAGUAACUUAACUAUCUCCCCUUAAAGUUAGAAUGAAAUAACACCGACUUUUACUCUGAAAUCCAUGGAAAUGUAAAAUUUCCUGUUCUGUUGUCCUUGAUAAAAUACAACAUAACAACUAGUUGCUGGGUUACUGCAUAAAACACAGGCUCCAAACUGCAGUGGGGAAGAACAGUUAGCAAUUAAGUAACGGAAAUGACUAGUGGUUUGAAACCCAGCAGACUGCCCAGGCAUCUAGGUUACUUAGGCAACUUUUAUCACUAAGGAAGUAGUUCUGGUGACUCAUGCUCCUACAGAGUGGCUUCCUUCCUUCAAAACUAGUGCAUUCAGGGACGUUGCCAUUAUGCAUCUCUCUUCUUUUUCUUUGGACGAGGGCAGAAAAAGUGCAUUGGAUGGUAUGGGUUUAUUACUUAGUAGCAUAUUAUUCACUGGCUGGCCCAUAUCUUGAAACUUAAUGGACUCAUGGUGAUCAGAAUAAAGCAGGAAGAGGAGGACAGAAGCCUGGAAGUCAAGGGCAAGGAAGAAUAAGAGAAGAGGGCAGCUGGUGCUUCUUGGGAGACUUCUCAUUAUUAGGAUGUCUCUCCCAACGCUCCCUUGCCACACAGAAGUGCAUUUUUAUUUGGCUUCCACAGAAGACCAUCGCCCAGAGCCGCUGGUGCUGGGGAUGCACCUGCACUGUGACUGGGACUCCGGAGUGCUCAUGCUAAUCCAGAGGAAAGCUUUAAAUGAGAGCAUAUAUAUUUUUAAUGUUAAAAUUCAGACACAGACAUUGUGUACAGAUAUGUGCAACUCUGAGCUCAUGCCCAAAAUGUCCUUGAUGGCCUUGUGAUAGUUCUGUAGAGGUAAGUGUAGAGAGUAUUCACAACCAAAAGUCACUAGACUUUACCUCACAACAGAAAAGUUCCACUCCUCUAAGACACCACGAGGUGCGUCCUUUUCCGUCUGCUCUUUUUCUCCUGGAAGUUUAUCAUGUCAUUGAGAGAACACACCCACUGUCUCCUGUUUCUUUUCCCCUGUGACAGCCUAUGAAUAAGAUGACUGGACACCAGAGGAAAAAAGACGAAUAUUUGGCUACAAGGCCUGCUUUUAUGUGGGUCCCUUUCACUCCGUAUUUUUGGGGCACUUGCUUUAAAUCAGGUCCAAUGUGCAAUAAUUAAGCAAUUGCUGUUCAUGGAAUGAUGGGCGACCCAGGAGGGUCAUAACUUGCAGAGACUGCCCCUCUCCAGCACCCCCGUCCAGCAGGGCUUCCUGUGGUGAUAGGAACGUCCUCUCUCCUUGCGGAGCAGCACAGUCGCCAACAGCCACGGCAGCCAUUGGACGCUUGGAAGGUGCCCAGUGUGACUGCUGAGCUAAAUUUUGCAAGUUAAUUAAACUCAAAUCACCAAAUGUGACCAGAGGCUACCCGAUGGACAAUGGAGCUCUAGAGAAUCAAUGAAAUUUUUAUUUAUUUUUGA